Long non-coding RNA from Mytilus californianus (California mussel), 863 nucleotides. RefSeq lists it as uncharacterized. The transcript has 2 exons. The record is from RefSeq and is a predicted model, not a curated record. Lineage: Eukaryota; Metazoa; Mollusca; Bivalvia; Mytilida; Mytilidae.
UUUUUUUUUAUCUUUUAUUUGUUUUUCAAUAGUCAGGAUUUAAUAUACAUGUACCCCUACACUACCACCUGACAAGGGUAUCAAGGGGUUACAUAUAAAAAAUAAUUCAGUAUACAAUAUAUAUCACUGACAAGUUGAUUUUUAUAAUUAUACAUGUAGUAUUUAAGGUUACAUAUAAAUUUUAUUUCAUUAUAUUCUCUCGCUCUCUGACUUUCUCUCAUACAAUACAAAUACUCUUCACUCAUUUGCUUUGCUACAAUAUGUACAUGAUGUAUCUUGACUUAUAUUUUAAAAACAAAAUAUUUUAAAGAAAAAACAAAAAAAACAAAAAAAACUCAAGGCUAAAUAUUUGCUCAUGAUAUAUAGAUAUUUUAUUCUCUCACUUAUAUGAAACAAUAAUUAAUUAAAUAUUACAUGUAAAGGAGACCAAAAUUUUUCACACACUUGGACUCUAUUAUUUUUCUUUGCAAUAUAAUAUUCAAGAAAUUGGUAUUUCUUUAUUCUAUUCUUUAACCCAACCAUAUUUGGUUUUGUUUCAUUUAAUUUACAUUUGUAUAUAUAGUUUUUUGUAAUUAUGACUAACAGAUUCAGUAAUAAACUUUCAUGUUUGCAACCAAGAAACACAUUCUCUUUGUUAAGAACAAAGUUUACAAAAAAAAUUUUACUGCAUUUGAAAAAGACUGCCACAAUUGAAAAGUUAUUGGGCAUUAAAAAAAAAGGUGUUCAAUGGUUUCUUCACCAAGUUUACAAAAAGUACACAUCUUGGUGUCUUUUAAUUUAAUUUUGUAUAAAAAGGUAUUAGUUGCUAUGAUUCUAUGCAAAAAUUUGUAUUGAAAAGUUCUUAAAUAAACAUCUCUACAUGA